CUGGAGUGCUACUAAAAUUGGAAUGAUACAGAGAUUAGCAUGGCCCCUGUGCGAGGAUGAUACACAAAUUCCAUAUUUUC
Molecule: small nuclear RNA, 80 nt
Filed under: Myotis brandtii (Brandt's bat)
Lineage: Eukaryota; Metazoa; Chordata; Mammalia; Chiroptera; Vespertilionidae
Source: RNAcentral